GGCGGUGUAGCUCAGGUGGUUAGAGCGGGGGUCUCAUAAGCCCUAGGUCGGCGGUUCGAAUCCGCCCGCCGCUACCA
This 77-nucleotide transfer RNA is filed under the name Acidobacteriota bacterium. Its description in RNAcentral is "Acidobacteria bacterium (bioreactor metagenome) tRNA-Met". It matches the Rfam family "tRNA". From Rfam's summary of the family: Transfer RNA (tRNA) molecules are approximately 80 nucleotides in length. Their secondary structure includes four short double-helical elements and three loops (D, anti-codon, and T loops). Further hydrogen bonds mediate the characteristic L-shaped molecular structure. tRNAs have two regions of fundamental functional importance: the anti-codon, which is responsible for specific mRNA codon recognition, and the 3' end, to which the tRNAs corresponding amino acid is attached (by aminoacyl-tRNA synthetases). tRNAs cope with the degeneracy of the genetic code in two manners: having more than one tRNA (with a specific anti-codon) for a particular amino acid; and 'wobble' base-pairing, i.e. permitting non-standard base-pairing at the 3rd anti-codon position. The record is from RNAcentral. Lineage: Bacteria; Pseudomonadati; Acidobacteriota.